Molecule: ribosomal RNA, 467 nt
Filed under: uncultured bacterium
Lineage: Bacteria
Description: partial 16S ribosomal RNA
Rfam family: Bacterial small subunit ribosomal RNA
Source: RNAcentral
GACGAACGCUGGCGGCGUGCUUAACACAUGCAAGUCGAACGGAAAGGCUCCAGCUUGCUGGAGUACUCGAGUGGCGAACGGGUGAGCAACACGUGGGUAAUCUGCCCUGCACUCUGGGAUAAGCCUGGGAAACUGGGUCUAAUACUGGAUAUGACCUUUCUCCUUAUGGGGUUUGGUGGAAAGUUUUUCGGUGUAGGAUGAGCCCGCGGCCUAUCAGCUUGUUGGUGGGGUGAUGGCCUACCAAGGCGACGACGGGUAGCCGGCCUGAGAGGGUGAUCGGCCACAUUGGGACUGAGAUACGGCCCAGACUCCUACGGGAGGCAGCAGUGGGGAAUAUUGCACAAUGGGCGGAAGCCUGAUGCAGCGACGCCGCGUGAGGGAUGACGGCCUUCGGGUUGUAAACCUCUUUCAGCAGGGACGAAGCGUAAGUGACGGUACCUGCAGAAGAAGCACCGGCUAACUAUGUG